CUACGGGAUGCAGCAGUGAGGAAUAUUGGUCAAUGGGCGAAAGCCUGAACCAGCCAUGUCGCGUGCAGGAAGACGGCCCUAUGGGUUGUAAACUGCUUUUCUAUAGGAAGAACUAUAUCUACGUGUAGGUAUUUGCCUGUACUAUAGGAAUAAGCAUCGGCUAACUCCGUGCCAGCAGCCGCGGUAAUACGGAGGAUGCGAGCGUUAUCCGGAUUCAUUGGGUUUAAAGGGUGCGUAGGCGGCCUUUUAAGUCAGUGGUGAAAUUUUGUAGCUCAACUACAAACGUGCCAUUGAAACUGAAGGGCUUGAGUGCGGACGAGGAAGGCGGAAUGUGUUAUGUAGCGGUGAAAUGCAUAGAUAUAACACAGAACACCGAUUGCGAAGGCAGCUUUCCAGACCGUAACUGACGCUGAUGCACGAAAGCGUGGGUAGCGAACAGGAUUAGAUACCCCCGUAGUC
Molecule: ribosomal RNA, 459 nt
Filed under: uncultured bacterium
Lineage: Bacteria
Description: partial 16S ribosomal RNA
Rfam family: Bacterial small subunit ribosomal RNA
Source: RNAcentral